AACGCGAAGAACCUUACCUGGGCUCGAAAUGUAGUGGAAUCGGGUGGAAACAUCCGCGUCUCGCAAGAGACUGCUAUAUAGGUGCUGCAUGGCUGUCGUCAGCUCGUGUCGUGAGAUGUUGGGUUAAGUCCCGCAACGAGCGCAACCCUUGUCCUAUGUUGCCAGCGGGUAAUGCCGGGGACUCGUAGGAGACUGCCGGGGUCAACUCGGAGGAAGGUGGGGACGACGUCAAGUCAUCAUGCCCCUUACGUCCAGGGCUGCACACAUGCUACAAUGGCCGGUACAAAGGGCUGCUAUCCCGCGAGGGUGAGCGAAUCCCAAAAAGCCGGUCUCAGUUCGGAUUGGAGUCUGCAACUCGACUCCAUGAAGUCGGAGUCGCUAGUAAUCCCGGAUCAGCAACGCCGGGGUGAAUACGUUCCCGGGCCUUGUACACACCGCUCGUC
RNAcentral lists this ribosomal RNA (443 nucleotides) under uncultured bacterium. Its description in RNAcentral is "bacterial SSU rRNA". It matches the Rfam family "Bacterial small subunit ribosomal RNA", at positions 958 to 1398 of the family's 1533-position model. The record is from RNAcentral.